GUCAAAACAUUUUACCUCUUUACGAAAGAUCAACAUUUGCAGUAACAAUGAGAAUUUGGGAGUUGCCUGUGAGUAUUCAUUUUUCCUUUGAUCUUACAUUACAGAUUGCUUGCUUUUAUUAAGUAGCUAUUGAAAUGUUAUGAAACUAUUGGAAACAACCUAGAAAUUUGGACAUGAAGGAUUUCUGUCCUUUUUCUCCUCUGGUGUUGGCAUCUUAAUGCCACUGAAAGUCAUACAACCUAGUUUCAUGAAGUUUGCUCUCAAGAUGGUUUUUCAUGCCACAUCAUCAGAGGCCCUGCAAAGCCUUCUCAUGUUUCCUCUGAGGAAUGUACUUUGAAAAACACCUAUUGCAGAUCUGCU
Long non-coding RNA from Heterocephalus glaber (naked mole-rat), 360 nucleotides. Lineage: Eukaryota; Metazoa; Chordata; Mammalia; Rodentia; Bathyergidae. The record is from Ensembl.